Molecule: ribosomal RNA, 253 nt
Filed under: uncultured bacterium
Lineage: Bacteria
Description: partial 16S ribosomal RNA
Rfam family: Bacterial small subunit ribosomal RNA
Source: RNAcentral
UACGUAGGGGGCAAGCGUUGUCCGGAAUCAUUGGGCGUAAAGAGCGCGUAGGCGGUCCGGUAAGUCGGUUGUGAAAACUGGGGGCUCAACCCUCAGAGGCCGACCGAUACUGUCGGGCUAGAGUCCGGAAGAGGCGAGUGGAAUUCCUGGUGUAGCGGUGAAAUGCGCAGAUAUCAGGAGGAACACCAAUGGCGAAGGCAGCUCGCUGGGACGGUACUGACGCUGAGGCGCGAAAGCCAGGGGAGCAAACGGG